CAUUAGCUGCGGGCCUGAACGAAGACGACAACAUGGCAGCGGGUAGUGUUCUUCCCACCUAUCAACGCUAUGUAAAUGGUGUGCCUGUACCGCAAGGACGUAAAACACUGCGUUUAAGAGAGAAAUACAUAAUAUUACUAGUGUUUUUAACAUUUGGGAUAGUAUGUUUUGGGGCAUUUUUCCUUUUACCAGAUCUCCGGGACCGGGUUACAAUGGACGAAAUGAGAAAACAUAUCCAAGAAGCUGGAAACGUCAUAUUUUUCCCACAGGCCGAACUGGGGGCUGAUGGUCACCCUCUUGUUGGGGCGAAAGUUUUGAGGCAUGGUGAUAUGAUCGAUCCUCACAAGAUAGUUGACAAGGCGGAACUUCGGAAAAAAAUCGAUGUUGCAUGGGAACAGCAGAAACUGAAUGAAGCACUCGGUGAUAGGCUAAAUGUGAAACCCGGGGAAGCUCAAGACAUGAAAGACAAAAUUCAAGAAGAAAAAAAUGUAAUCUUGAUGAAGAAGAAAGAAGAAGAACAAUUGGCAAAGCAAGAAGAAAUAAAGAAACAGCUUGAAGUUAAAAAGGAGCAUGAAGGCCAUGCUUUACCUGAUGCAGCAGCAGGGGGCUCUCAUGAUGAUGAGGAAAACAAGAUGAGGAGAGAGAAAGUGAAGGAGAUGAUGAGACAUGCCUGGUCUAACUAUGAGAAGCAUGCUUGGGGAGCAAACGAACUUCGACCCAUCUCAAAACGAGGUCACACUGCCAGCAUCUUUGGAACCCUUUCUCUGGGAGCAACAAUCGUUGACGCCAUUGACACUCUUUACUUGAUGGGCAUGAAUGAAGAGUUCAAGAAGGCCAGAGACUGGAUUGCCACAAGUUUCCACUUUGAAGGGUCUACUGAAUUAUCUGUGUUCGAGACCAACAUCCGGUUUGUGGGUGGGCUACUAGCUUCCUACGCUCUGUCAGGAGACCCGAUGUUCAAGGACAAGGCGAAACAAAUUGCUGACAAGCUCCUCCCAGCCUUCAACACCCCAUCGGGCAUCCCACAGUCCAUGGUGAACAUCAAAACUGGUAGCAGUCGGAACUGGGGUUGGGCCUCUGGAGGCUGCUCCAUCCUGGCUGAGUUUGGAUCUCUACAUCUGGAAUUUGCCUAUCUGUCCUCCAUCACAGGGGAGGAUACAUACCUCAAGAAGGUUCUGAAGAUCCGGGAAGUGCUGCGACAGCUAGAGAAGCCCAAUGGACUCUACCCCAACUACCUGAACCCUCGGACUGGCAAGUGGGGGCAGUUGGCGGUGUCAGUGGGUGCUCUGGGAGACAGCUUCUAUGAGUACCUCCUCAAACAGUGGAUCAUGUCGGGCAAGACAGACACUGUAGCCAAGGACAUGUAUGAUGAAGCAGUGAAGGGUAUUGAGGACAAGCUCAUCCAGACGUCCAGCGGAGGCCUGAAGUACUUCGCCGAAUACAAGUCUGGUCGUCUGGAACACAAGAUGGACCAUAUGUCCUGCUUUGCUGGUGGAAUGUUUGCUUUGGGAGCAGAGGAUUCGAAUGACAAACAGAAAUAUCUCAAUCUUGGUGCGGAGAUUAGCAAGACUUGCUACCAGUCUUAUGAUAGAUCACCAACAAAGCUUGGACCUGAAGCAUUCCGAUUUGACAGCACAACAGAAGCCAAAGCUACAAGACAGAAUGAGAAAUACUAUAUCCUACGGCCUGAGGUGAUAGAAACCCAUUUCUACAUGUGGAGGUUCACAAAGGACAAGAUAUACCGAGACAGGGCCUGGGAGGCUGUGCAGGCUCUGGAGAAAUGGUGUCGUGUGGAUGGUGGGUACAGUGGGAUACGAGAUGUCUACCAGAUCAACCCCCCACAGGACGAUGUACAACAGAGCUUCUUUUUAGCUGAAACACUCAAAUAUUUAUACCUUAUUUUCUCUGAGGAUGAUCUUUUACCUCUAAAUAAGUGGGUACUGAAUACAGAGGCACAUCCCUUACCCAUCCUAUCCUGAAACAACUAGUUCUACUUACAUCUUAUCAUUGAAAUGUGCACAAAACCUUGGUCUUCUUCUAAUAACAUCUGACCUGCAACAUUUAGUGCAUGUUGUCGGGCGUGAGGUGGAAUGUUAUAGUCACUUUAUCUAUGUGUUCUGAAUGGCUGAGUGUGUAAAUACCUGUUAAUGGCAGUGUGCAAGAGUUUGGGAAACUUGAUAAUUUAUCACCAUAUGAAUAUUGUGUUUUGUCUGUCAACAGAGAAGCAUUGUCAUCUAUUAUGUGUUCCUGGGUAGUAUUGGUUUUAUGAAAUCAAUAAUAAGGCAUAUGUAUAUAAGUGUGAUUGCAACAAUUAUUUCAUAAUAUAUGUAUCGAACCUAAAGUUAUGUGUAGAUUAAGUGAGAAGAUAUACAAGUUUGAUUAUUAACACUAAGUUAAACACUUUGUUGUAGGAAAGUAGAUGAAGAUAUUGUGAAUAUUAUUAUUAUCACAUAUUGUGUGAUCAUGUGUGACAAAUGUUAGUGUUCCUUUCAAAAAAUGACUGAAAAGAUUCACAGAAAUGAUACUGUAAUACAACUGUAUGCCGGUGAUGGGUUUGAAUGUUUGUGACCCCCAGAAAGAUUUCCUCAUCAUAUAGAAUUUGACAGUCUCGUGAGAAGAGUAUACAUGCCAGUCUGUGUGUACAUCUGAUGGAGUGAGUGUCCUUUCACCAAGGAUGGAGUUCUUAAGGAGACAGGGAAGCUGUGUUUUCAGGCGCUGCAUUUUCACUGUGCAGGAUUAUCUCCCUUAGUCCUUCCUGGAUCAGGGGUUCAAAUUUGACCUGAUUAUUUAUUAUGCUUGAUCUGUCAACAUUCAUACUUCUUUGUUUCACCAAGAAGAUCAUCACACAACAUCCAGGAUGUUUGGGGUUUUCCUCUAUCAUUAAGCUGACACGUAAACACUGGACGUAAUACUGAAGGUUUAUUGCAAGUCUCGCAUUGUAGCACAUUGUUUCCUGGGUUGACAGUAUGUACACAUAUGCACUAUGUAGAAGGUUAUAACAGCCACAGCCUUGUAGUCGUGCUUUUGUGAUUGUCAUGAUAUUUAGGUAAUGUACAUUCUAAAAUUGCAAGACUGUUAUGUCUCGAAGUUUGAGGAUGUAAUACAGCUCACCCCUGUUACACCAGACACCAUUGCAGACUGGCUCACUUCCACUGUAUACAGGGCCUGUGACAACUGAGUAAUCAAAAAUGUGUCUGGUGUUGUGCAUUGAGAGAUACCUGUGGCCUGUGGAAGGUGUGCAAGGGGUUGUGCUCUGCAACAGUCAUUGAGUGCUAGUGUUAUCGAUGUUGUUUCUCCUCAUUGUUGUGGUGGUUAUUUAAAGGAAAACACUGUUUGGAUGACCAUAGCAUUGUCCUAAAUACUCGUAACAGGCAACUAGUUUGUGAGCACAGUUGAUACGCAGUAGUGUAAUUCGUGUCUACUGUAACAACAUUGUUUGAUGCUAGUACUAUCAACCACAGGUUUGUCGGCCAUCAGGUUGUAGGCCAUCUUGUUCACUACGCAUGAGAUAUUUAGUGAAAUGUUUUAUGUGAUGUCCUUGGUAGUUAUCACCGGAAGACUUAUGUGAACUUCUUUGUAAGGGCUAUCAUAAAGGUUUCUAUUGGUUGAGACUACAGAGAGUGCUUAUAUUUGCUGGUUUUGACAGUCAAGUGUGUCUGUUGUGUUUGUGGACAAGACAACGAAACUCAAUAGGACAAUGUUCAACAGAACAUGUAGAUCAUCAUAUCGUGCAUAUUCUAGAAAGUUAUAUUCAUCUGUUCAAGGUCAUCUGGUUCAAUGAUGUGCCACCUGUGAAAAUCCGGGUUAGAAUUGAUCUUCAGUAACCCAUGCUUGUCGUAAGAGGCGACUAACGGGAUCGGGUGGUCAGGCUCGCUGACUUGGUUGACACAUGUUGUCGGUUCACAAUUUAAGGAUCUUUCCAGCUCAUAACCCUUUUCAUGUUUUCUUUCACUGUCAAACUGUUUACAGUGGUUUCUGUUUGAGGUUGUCUUCAGGUACACAGCAUACACAUCAAAACUCGUGUUUUAUUCAAGGGUCACAUUAUUCUUUCUCUAAUGAUCAUCAGGAAUUGAGCAAGUCGUCUUUUGGCAUUAAAAAUGAUGAUAUUGUGCUA
RNAcentral lists this unclassified non-coding RNA (4114 nucleotides) under Haliotis rubra (blacklip abalone). RNAcentral describes it as "mannosyl-oligosaccharide 1,2-alpha-mannosidase IA- like, transcript variant X1". The record is from RNAcentral. Lineage: Eukaryota; Metazoa; Mollusca; Gastropoda; Lepetellida; Haliotidae.